GACAGUAGCCAGAGGGUUGUGGCUCAAUCCUGUGUAAGCUGAGAUCUUAAGGAUUCUAUUUGAAACCAGUUUAAAAAAAAAAAAGGCUGGAGACAUGGAUCAACUGUUAUGAGCACUCAGCUGAACAAGGAAAGCUAAGUAACCAUGAGGUAGGUCUUGAAUUCAUAAACCCCAGUACCACCACAAGUUCUAGGGACCUUAACUAUUGUUAGAACAAACAAGUCAUAAGCCAGCAUUUCAAAGAUGCCCAAAUUUCCUGUCAUCCUGCCUUUCCAUUUUUUAAAAUGAAACACAUAUAGGUUAUUCUGUUUUCUAACAGUAAGGUUUUUGUUAAAUAGACCAUCUUUCAAUUUUUUUGGGGGGGAGGGUCAGUCCUGGGGCUUGGACUCAGGGCCUGUGCAUUGUCC
This is a long non-coding RNA of Perognathus longimembris pacificus (Pacific pocket mouse), 407 nucleotides long. RefSeq lists it as uncharacterized. The transcript is spliced from 5 exons. The record is from RefSeq and is a predicted model, not a curated record. NCBI's taxonomy places the organism in Eukaryota, Metazoa, Chordata, Mammalia, Rodentia, Heteromyidae.